This 2411-nucleotide ribosomal RNA is filed under the name Lupinus angustifolius (narrow-leaved blue lupine). RNAcentral describes it as "eukaryotic LSU rRNA". The stretch from base 1 to 2073 matches the Rfam family "Eukaryotic large subunit ribosomal RNA", at positions 472 to 3401 of the family's 3401-position model. Lineage: Eukaryota; Viridiplantae; Streptophyta; Magnoliopsida; Fabales; Fabaceae. The record is from RNAcentral.
CUCCACUUCAUCCGCUCCCCAAUCCAUCGAGGGGUCCAGGGUGUACCCCUUGGCAUAGCCCCGUCUGUCUCUCUUGGUGCCGAUCCUAAUGUUGAGAAUUCUGUUUGGGGUCAGGUCCUAACAACUUUUGGUACACCUCGAGCUUCAACCGAUACAGAAAGUUCAGCGGUUGCAGGUCUUCGGUCGGGCAAAGUGAAUGAUGCCUCCCGAACUGCAUAGUAAGGUGGAAGAUGCAGAACUGAGCCAUUGCUUACCCAAUCCAGCUCUAGGUUGCAAGGACAUGUGUAAGUGUGUCGAUUACCCUCAACACUCCAUAUCCCCUCCUGGAACAUAGUGAAGUGAUAACCUCAGAUCAGUGCUGAUGGGUUCAUCUGAAUACGUUUAUAAAUACACCAGAACAAAAGAGAGGGAGUAAAACAUCUAUGAAAAACUUGUCAUCGACUUCGUCGAAUUAUACGGAAUAAUACACCAAGACAACACACGAGUACAUAUAUAUCAUGUGAUCAUACAAGCAUAUAAUAAUGAGGAAUGAAGUAUAAAACUCUAGAAUUUAGAAUCAAUAUCGAAGAAUAUCGUGUGUGCAAUGCGAUGCAUGAGUCCACCAUCCUUACUCCUUUAUCCUCCCAAUAACUAUUCGGAAAUAACUUCGAGUACAGUUCCCAUAAAAAUCCGAUUUUAUGGCACCAAAAUAUUCCUCGCAAGGAUAUAUGAUCGAUAUGUUCCAACGGAACUAUCCAUUUCAGGAUGGUGUCGUGUCAAACACUUUCUGGUCAUCCCUCUCAUUGAUCCUGAUUGCAAAGAGGGGUUGUUAGAGAUCGUCUAGUUUGUGUUGUGAGCAAUGUCCGAUCCAACAUAAUACCUCACCUUGGAAACGGCUCAGCCAAAGGUAGAGUCCAACGGCUGGAAGAGCCCCACACGUCGUGUGGUGUCCGGUGCGCCCCCAGCGGCCCUUGAAUAUCCGGAGGACUGAGUGCCUCCCACGCCCGAUCGUACUCAUAACCGCAUCAGGUCUCCAAGGUGAACAACCUCUUGUCGAUGGUACAAUGUAGGUAAAUGAAGUCGGCAAAAUGGAUCUGUAACCUCGGGAAAAGGAUUGGCUCUAAGGGCUUGGCACGGCGAUCCUAGUCCCCAACCCGUUGGCUGUCGUGGCGAGAGUGGGUCGCCAUAUGCCAGUCGGAGGACAGAUUGGGAACGAGCCCUUCGGAUGUUGACGCGAAGCAUUAAGAUGAUCCCUGUGGAUGUUGACGCAAUGUGAUUUCUGCCUAGUGCUCUGAAUGUCAAAGUGAAAAAAUUAUACCAAGAAAGGGUAAACGGCGGGAGUAACUGACUAUGACUCUCUUAAGGUAGCCAAAUGCCUCGUCAUCUAAUCAGUGACGCACAUGAAUGGAUUAAUGAGAUUCCCAUUGUGCUUAUCUACUAUCCAACGUCACCGCAGCCAAGGGUACUGGCUUGGCAGAAUCAGCAGGGAAAGAAGACCCUAUUGAGCUUGACUCUAGUCCGACUUUGUGAAAUGACUUGAGAGGUGUAGGAUAAGUGGGAGCUGGAAAUAGCAAAAGUGAAAAACCACUACUUUUAACGUUAUUUUCUUAUUCCGUGAAUCGGAGGCGGGGCGCAACACCUGUAUUUGGACCCAAGGUCAGCCUCGGUUGGUCGAUCCGAGCGGAAUACAUUGUCAAGUGGGGAGUUUGGCUGGGGUGGCACAUCUAUUAAAAGAUAACAUAAGUGCCCUAAGAUGAGCUCAACGAGAACAUAAAUCUCGUAUGGAACAAAAGGGUAAGAGCUCUUUUGAUUCUGAUUUCCAGUACGAAUACGAACCAUGAAAGCGUGGCCUAUCAAUCCUUUAAUCCUUUAGAAUUUGAAGCUAGAGGUGUCAGAAAACUUACCAUAGGGAUAACUGGCUUGUGGCAGCCAAGUGUUCAUAGCGACGUUGCUUUUUGAUCCUUCGAUGUCGACUCUUCCUAUCAUUGUGAAGCAUAAUUCACCAAGUCUUGGAUUGUUCACCCACCAAUAGAGAAUGUGAGCUGGGUUUAGACCAUCGUGAGACAGGUUAGUUUUAUCCUACUUAUGAAAAUUUAUCGGCUUGGAGAAAAAUCAUGUAACUUCAUUGACCACUAUCUCCUAUUCUUAUAAGCACAUGUGCAAAACCUCAUGGCAAAAUUCGACUUCUAGCCUAAAAAACCCACUAUGUCUUCCCAAAAAAAGGUUUUCCGGUGGUGUAGAGUAGGCUUCUGCAUAUUAGCCUACUAUAUCGGGGCAAGCUGCCUUCCUGCCCACACACCUUGGUGGGUCAGGAUGGCGAGCCAUGGGGCUCCCUCGAACGCCCCUGCAAGCUAUCCCUAGGCAUGCUGGUGUGUUUUUCCAUAGCGUUGUGGGCAAUUCGACUGUGUCAUCUUCCAUGCUGAAUCUCGGCC